UGGAAAGGCGCGCGAUACAGGGUGACAGCCCCGUACACAAAAAUGCACAUGCUGUGAGCUCGAUGAGUAGGGCGGGACACGUGGUAUCCUGUCUGAAUAUGGGGGGACCAUCCUCCAAGGCUAAAUACUCCUGACUGACCGAUAGUGAACCAGUACCGUGAGGGAAAGGCGAAAAGAACCCCGGCGAGGGGAGUGAAAAAGAACCUGAAACCGUGUACGUACAAGCAGUGGGAGC
RNAcentral lists this ribosomal RNA (235 nucleotides) under Escherichia coli O5:K4(L):H4 str. ATCC 23502. RNAcentral describes it as "Large Subunit Ribosomal RNA; lsuRNA; LSU rRNA". It matches the Rfam family "Bacterial large subunit ribosomal RNA", at positions 343 to 580 of the family's 2925-position model. The record is from RNAcentral. Lineage: Bacteria; Pseudomonadati; Pseudomonadota; Gammaproteobacteria; Enterobacterales; Enterobacteriaceae.